UAAUGAUACGUUCCUGGGCAAUGCUACAAAACCAACGAAUCAUAUGCCACCGCGCAUAUCAGGAACCUGUAGAGGGACUUUGCGCAUGCAACAUCAUGUUUCACGGAUGUAUGUAUAUGUGGGUGAAUGACGGGAAGGGUUGGAAAAUAUGUAAAUAAUGCUGCAUCGCAGCUUCGUCACCCAGCGCCCCUUAUUGAUAUGAUAAUGUGUGGCAUAUAAUUUCAAAUGAACAAUGCAAACGCGCAUUAUUUUUCAAAUAAUUUACCGGUUUCAUGGAAAUUCAGGAAUGACAGAUGUAAUUUACAACAUAAUAGAAAAAGUCAUUCUGCAGGGUGAGAAUAAACGAAUAGACUAAUCGAUGAUGAUAUUUAUUUCCGAAAGCGAAUAGUGUAUGAAUUUGCAAUUAUCCAUAAAUAUGAAUGUACAUACACAUGCAAAUAUGAAAACAAAAUAGAGCAUGAAGUCUAAAAAACUUUGUAUUUUUAUAUGUACGCUUCGUAUAUACUAAAUAAAAAUGAUGUCACUACUGUACACUGUAUACGACAUACGAUCAUGCUAGUGUAUGACGCACAUAGAAUUGAUAUGUACGUUUUAUUAAUUUGAAAGAAUGUAUCAAAUAAGGCUAUGAGGAUUUGUAUCAUUUUCUUAAAUAUACACUUAUUGGAUUAAAAA
Molecule: long non-coding RNA, 672 nt
Organism: Bombus pyrosoma
Lineage: Eukaryota; Metazoa; Arthropoda; Insecta; Hymenoptera; Apidae
Exons: 2
Source: RefSeq, a predicted model, not a curated record